GAUGAACGCUGGCGGCGUGCUUAACACAUGCAAGUCGAACGGUGAAGGCGGAGCUUGCUCUGCUGGAUCAGUGGCGAACGGGUGAGUAACACGUGAGCAAUCUGCCCCUGACUCUGGGAUAAGCGCUGGAAACGGCGUCUAAUACUGGAUACGAGCUGCGAAGGCAUCUUCAGCAGCUGGAAAGAACUUCGGUCAGGGAUGAGCUCGCGGCCUAUCAGCUUGUUGGUGAGGUAACGGCUCACCAAGGCGUCGACGGGUAGCCGGCCUGAGAGUGUGACCGGCCACACUGGGACUGAGACACGGCCCAGACUCCUACGGGAGGCAGCAGUGGGGAAUAUUGCACAAUGGGCGAAAGCCUGAUGCAGCAACGCCGCGUGAGGGACGACGGCCUUCGGGUUGUAAACCUCUUUUAGCAGGGAAGAAGCGAAAGUGACGGUACCUGCAGAAAAAGCGCCGGCUAACUACGUG
Molecule: ribosomal RNA, 468 nt
Filed under: uncultured bacterium
Lineage: Bacteria
Description: partial 16S ribosomal RNA
Rfam family: Bacterial small subunit ribosomal RNA
Source: RNAcentral